UCCCUGGUUGAUCCUGCCAGUAGUUAUAUGCUUGUCUCAAAGAUUAAGCCAUGCAUGUCUCAGUGCAAGCCGUAUUAAGGCGAUACCGCGAAUGGCUCAAUAUAUCAGUUUUGGUUCCUUAGAUCUUACUCGGUUACCUUGGAUAACUGUGGUAAUUCUAGAGCUAAUACAUGCAAUCAGAACUCUGAACCAGUGAUGGGACGAGUGCUUUUAUUAGAUCAAAACCAAUCGACGGAGGGCCUCGCGUCCGAAGUCGUUAAUUUUGAUGAAUCUGGAUAACUUUUGCCGAUCGCACGGUCCAGUACCGGCGACGCAUCUUUCAAAUGUCUGCCUUAUCAACUUUCGAUGGUAGUUUCUGCGACUACCCAUGGUUGUCACGGGUAACGGGGAAUCAGGGUUCGAUUCCGGAGAGGGAGCCUGAGAAACGGCUACCACAUCCAAGGAAGGCAGCAGGCGCGCAAAUUACCCACUCCCGGCACGGGGAGGUAGUGACGAAAAAUAACGAUACGCGACUCUUACGAGGCCUCGUAAUCGGAAUGAGUACACCUUCAAAUAUUUUAACGAGGAACAAUUGGAGGGCAAGUCUGGUGCCAGCAGCCGCGGUAAUUCCAGCUCCAAUAGCGUAUACUAAAAUUGUUGCGGUUAAAAAGCUCGUAGUUGCAUUUGUGCGCCGCGCUGUCGGUGCACCGCAUCCGCGGUGAUACUGACACGUCUGCGGAGCAUAUCGUCGGUGAGCCGUCGUUAACGCGACGGUUCAAUAUCAAAAUCCUAUCGCGGUGCUCUUCGUUGAGUGUCGAGAUGGGCCGACAAUUUUACUUUGAACAAAUUAGAGUGCUCAAAGCGGGCUCAAAAAUGCCCGCUUGAAUAUUCCGUGCAUGGAAUAAUAGAAUAUGAUCUCGGUUCUAUUUUGUUGGUUUUCAGAACUCCGAGGUAAUGAUUAAUAGGGAUAACUGGGGGCAUUCGUAUUGCGACGUUAGAGGUGAAAUUCUUGGAUCGUCGCAAAGCGAACAUCAGCGAAAGCAUUUGCCAAAGGUUGUUUUCAUCAAUCAAGAACGAAAGUUAGAGGUUCGAAGGCGAUUAGAUACCGCCCCUAGUUCUAACCGUAAAUAUGUCAUCUAGCGAUCCGCCGACGUUACUACAAUGGCUCGGCGGGCAGCUUCCGGGAAACCAAAGAUUUUGGACUCCGGGGGGAGUAUGGUUGCAAAGCUGAAACUUAAAGGAAUUGACGGAAGGGCACCACCAGGAGUGGAGCCUGCGGCUUAAUUUGACUCAACACGGGAAAUCUCACCAGGCCCGGACACCGGAAGGAUUGACAGAUUAACAGCUCUUUCUUGAUUCGGUGGGUGGUGGUGCAUGGCCGUUCUUAGUUGGUGGAGCGAUUUGUCUGGUUAAUUCCGGUAACGAACGAGACUCUAGCCUGCUAAAUAGGCGUCGUCAUUUAGGUGUGCGCGACUCCGGUCGCGCAACUCACUGGCGGCGUAUUAAAGUUCUUCUUAGAGGGACCGGCGUCUUCGAGGCGCACGAGAUUGAGCAAUAACAGGUCUGUGAUGCCCUUAGAUGUCCUGGGCCGCACCGCGCGCUAACACUGAAGGAAUCAGCAUGUUCUCCCUGGCCUAGAGGCCCGGGCAACCCGUUGAAACUCCUUCGUGCUGGGAUUGGGGUUUGCAAUUAUCCCCCAUAAACGAGGAAUUCCUAGUAAUCGCGGGUCAUAAGCCCGCGAUGAUUAAGUCCCUGCCCUUGUACACACGCCCGUCGCUACUACCGAUUGAAUGAUUUAGUGAGGUCUUCGGACCGACAGCGGUGGCUUCACGGCCGUCGGCGUUGCUGGGAAGUUGACCAAACUUGAUCAUUUAGAGGAAGUAAAAGUCGUAACAAGGUUUCCGUAGGGGAACCUGCGGAAGGAUCAUUA
RNAcentral lists this ribosomal RNA (1909 nucleotides) under Bicyclus anynana (squinting bush brown). Its description in RNAcentral is "Eukaryotic small subunit ribosomal RNA". It matches the Rfam family "Eukaryotic small subunit ribosomal RNA". The record is from Rfam by way of RNAcentral. Lineage: Eukaryota; Metazoa; Arthropoda; Insecta; Lepidoptera; Nymphalidae.